CCUACGGGAGACAGCAGUGAGGAAUAUUGGUCAAUGGCCGAGAGUCUGAACCAGCCAAGUAGCGUGAAGGAAGACGGAUCUAUGGGUUGUAAACUUCUUUUAUAGGGGAAUAAAGGUAUCCACGUGUGGAUUUUUGCAUGUACCCUAUGAAUAAGCAUCGGCUAACUCCGUGCCAGCAGCCGCGGUAAUACGGAGGAUGCGAGCGUUAUCCGGAUUUAUUGGGUUUAAAGGGUGCGUAGGUUGUUUUUUAAGUCAGUGGUGAAAGUUUGUGGCUCAACCGUAAAAUUGCCGUUGAAACUGGCAGUCUUGAGUGUAGUAGAGGUGGGCGGAAUUCGUGGUGUAGCGGUGAAAUGCAUAGAUAUCACGAAGAACUCCGAUUGCGAAGGCAGUUUACUAAGCCAUAACUGACACUGAAGCACGAAAGUGUGGGGAUCAAACAGGAUUAGAUACCCGAGUAGUC
This 460-nucleotide ribosomal RNA is filed under the name uncultured bacterium. RNAcentral describes it as "partial 16S ribosomal RNA". It matches the Rfam family "Bacterial small subunit ribosomal RNA", at positions 338 to 795 of the family's 1533-position model. The record is from RNAcentral.